This 381-nucleotide ribosomal RNA is filed under the name Salmonella enterica. Its description in RNAcentral is "partial 23S ribosomal RNA". It matches the Rfam family "Bacterial large subunit ribosomal RNA", at positions 657 to 1035 of the family's 2925-position model. The record is from RNAcentral. Lineage: Bacteria; Pseudomonadati; Pseudomonadota; Gammaproteobacteria; Enterobacterales; Enterobacteriaceae. RNAcentral also lists the same sequence under 1 other name.
AUAGGGGAGCCGGAGGGAAACCGAGUCUUAACCGGGCGUUAAGUUGCAGGGUAUAGACCCGAAACCCGGUGAUCUAGCCAUGGGCAGGUUGAAGGUUGGGUAACACUAACUGGAGGACCGAACCGACUAAUGUUGAAAAAUUAGCGGAUGACCUGUGGCUGGGGGUGAAAGGCCAAUCAAACCGGGAGAUAGCUGGUUCUCCCCGAAAGCUAUUUAGGUAGCGCCUCGUGAAUUCAUCUCCGGGGGUAGAGCACUGUUUCGGCUAGGGGGCCAUCCCGGCUUACCAACCCGAUGCAAACUGCGAAUACCGGAGAAUGUUAUCACGGGAGACACACGGCGGGUGCUAACGUCCGUCGUGAAGAGGGAAACAACCCAGACCGC